This 262-nucleotide ribosomal RNA is filed under the name uncultured archaeon. RNAcentral's name for it is "partial 16S ribosomal RNA". It matches the Rfam family "Archaeal small subunit ribosomal RNA", at positions 748 to 1009 of the family's 1478-position model. The record is from RNAcentral.
UAGCCGUAAACGAUACUCGCUAGGUGUCGGCCACGGUGCGACCGUUGUCGGUGCCGUAGGGAAGCCGUGAAGCGAGCCACCUGGGAAGUACGGCCGCAAGGACUGAAACUUAAAGGAAUUGGCGGGGGAGCACAACAACGGGUGGAGCUUGCGGUUUAAUUGGAUUCAACGCCGGAAAUCUUACCGGGACCGACAGCAACAUGAAGGCCAGGCUGAAGACUUUGCCGGAUUAGCUGAGAGGUGGUGCAUGGCGUAGUCGUGU